GAUGAACGCUGGCGGCGUGCUUAACACAUGCAAGUCGAACGGGAAACCUUUUAUUGAAGCUUCGGCAGAUUUAGCUGGUUUCUAGUGGCGGACGGGUGAGUAACGCGUGGGUAACCUGCCUUAUACAGGGGGAUAACAACCAGAAAUGGUUGCUAAUACCGCAUAAGCGCACAGGACCGCAUGGUCCGGUGUGAAAAACUCCGGUGGUAUAAGAUGGACCCGCGUUGGAUUAGCUAGUUGGCAGGGUAACGGCCUACCAAGGCGACGAUCCAUAGCCGGCCUGAGAAGGUGAACGGCCACAUUGGGACUGAGACACGGCCCAGACUCCUACGGGAAGCAGCAGUGGGGAAUAUUGCACAAUGGGGGAAACCCUGAUGCAGCGACGCCGCGUGAAGGAAGAAGUAUCUCGGUAUGUAAACUUCUAUCAGCAGGGAAGAUAGUGACGGUACCUGACUAAGAAGCCCCGGCUAACUACGUG
This 478-nucleotide ribosomal RNA is filed under the name uncultured bacterium. RNAcentral's name for it is "partial 16S ribosomal RNA". It matches the Rfam family "Bacterial small subunit ribosomal RNA", at positions 28 to 507 of the family's 1533-position model. The record is from RNAcentral.